RNAcentral lists this ribosomal RNA (776 nucleotides) under uncultured bacterium. RNAcentral's name for it is "bacterial SSU rRNA". It matches the Rfam family "Bacterial small subunit ribosomal RNA", at positions 8 to 796 of the family's 1533-position model. The record is from RNAcentral.
AGAGUUUGAUCCUGGCUCAGAAUCAACGCUGGCGGCGUGCCUCAGACAUGCAAGUCGAACGAUUAAACUCUCCUUCGGGAGAGAUAUAAAGUGUCGCACGGGUGAGUAACACGUAGGUAAUCUACCUUUGAGUGGGGAAUAACGUUCGGAAACGAACGCUAAUACCGCAUAAUGCAGCGGCACCGCAAGGUGACAGUUGUUAAAGGAGCAAUCCGCUUAAAGAGGAGCCUGCGGCAGAUUAGCUAGUUGGUAAGGUAAUGGCUUACCAAGGCUACGAUCUGUAACCGACCUGAGAGGGUGGUCGGUCACACUGACACUGAAUAACGGGUCAGACUCCUACGGGAGGCAGCAGUCGGGAAUUUUGGGCAAUGGGCGAAAGCCUGACCCAGCAACGCCGCGUGAAGGAUGAAGUAUUUCGGUAUGUAAACUUCGAAAGAAUGGGAAGAAUAAAUGACGGUACCAUUUAUAAGGUCCGGCUAACUACGUGCCAGCAGCCGCGGUAAUACGUAGGGACCAAGCGUUGUUCGGAUUUACUGGGCGUAAAGGGCGCGUAGGCGGCGUGUUAAGUCAGCUGUGAAAUCUCCGAGCUUAACUCGGAACGGUCAGCUGAUACUGAUGUGCUAGAGUGCAGAAGGGGCAAUCGGAAUUCUUGGUGUAGCGGUGAAAUGCGUAGAUAUCAAGAGGAACACCUGAGGUGAAGACGGGUUGCUGGGCUGACACUGACGCUGAGGCGCGAAAGCUAGGGUAGCAAACGGGAUUAGAUACCCCAGUAGUCC